ACGGGAGGCAGCAGUGGGGAAUAUUGGGCAAUGGGCGAAAGCCUGACCCAGCAACGCCGCGUGAAGGAAGAAGGUCUUCGGAUUGUAAACUUCUUUUAUGAGGGACGAAGGACGUGACGGUACCUCAUGAAUAAGCCACGGCUAACUACGUGCCAGCAGCCGCGGUAAUACGUAGGGGGCAAGCGUUGUCCGGAAUGAUUGGGCGUAAAGGGCGCGUAGGCGGCCUGUUAAGUCUGGAGUGAAAGUCCUGCUUUUAAGGUGGGAAUUGCUUUGGAUACUGAUGGGCUUGAGUGCAGGAGAGGUAAGUGGAAUUCCCAGUGUAGCGGUGAAAUGCGUAGAGAUUGGGAGGAACACCAGUGGCGAAGGCGACUUACUGGACUGUAACUGACGCUGAGGCGCGAAAGUGUGGGGAGCAAACAGGAUUAGAUACCCUGGUA
This 437-nucleotide ribosomal RNA is filed under the name uncultured bacterium. Its description in RNAcentral is "partial 16S ribosomal RNA". It matches the Rfam family "Bacterial small subunit ribosomal RNA", at positions 341 to 792 of the family's 1533-position model. The record is from RNAcentral.